GAGAAGAACGCAGCGAAAUGCGAUAAGUAAUGUGAAUUGCAGAAUUCAGUGAAUCAUCGAAUCUUUGAACGCACAUUGCGCCCGUCAGUAUUCUGGCGGGCAUGCCUGUUCGAGCGUCAUUACGCCCCUCAAGUCCCCUGUGGACUUGGUGUUGGGGAUCGGCGAGGCUGGUUUUCCAGCACAGCCGUCCCUUAAAUUAAUUGGCGGUCUCGCCGUGGCCCUCCUCUGCGCAGUAGUAAAACACUCGCAACAGGAGCCCGGCGCGGUCCACUGCCGUAAAACCCCCCAACUUUUUAUAGUUGACCUCGAAUCAGGUAGGACUACCCGCUGAACUUAAGCAUAUCAAUAAGCGGAGGA
This 357-nucleotide unclassified non-coding RNA is filed under the name soil metagenome. RNAcentral's name for it is "partial contains 5.8S ribosomal RNA, internal transcribed spacer 2, and large subunit ribosomal RNA". The stretch from base 3 to 119 matches the Rfam family "5.8S ribosomal RNA", at positions 38 to 154 of the family's 154-position model. The record is from RNAcentral.